Molecule: ribosomal RNA, 273 nt
Filed under: uncultured Staphylococcus sp.
Lineage: Bacteria; Bacillati; Bacillota; Bacilli; Caryophanales; Staphylococcaceae
Description: partial 16S ribosomal RNA
Rfam family: Bacterial small subunit ribosomal RNA
Source: RNAcentral
CUGACGUUAGCGGCGGACGGGUGAGUAACACGUGGGUGACCUACCUAUAAGACUGGGAUAACUCCGGGAAACCGGGGCUAAUACCGGAUAACACAUGAAACCGCAUGGUUUCAUGAUGAAAGACGGUUUUGAUGUCACUUAUAGAUGGACCCGCGGCGUAUUAGCUAGUUGGUAAGGUAACGGCUUACCAAGGCAACGAUACGUAGCCGACCUGAGAGGGUGAUCGGCCACACUGGAACUGAGACACGGUCCAGACUCCUACGGGAGGCAGCG